AAAAAAGGACUCAAGAGAAGGGGAACCCUUAAUGUGGAAGCGUAAGGAGCCGACGUAUCCGCUGCGUAUUUAGCCAUUGUCGAGCGCAAUUUGUUCGUUUUUGGAGUUCUGCAAAAGUCUCCGGCGAACAAUUGUUGUGAUCGGUGAAUGGUGCACUUGCGCAGAGAGUGCGCGGAAUCGGCUGGACUCGGCGUUCGAAAUCCGGCCAAGAGGACCAGUCCGCAAGGCCCGGAAACCUGGGCAUCGGAUGGGCGACGAAUGAGUCUGGCUGCAUUGCAAUUAGGGCCGGUUGAAUUCGAAAUGUGUGGGAAAGUCUCGACGUUGUUUGGGAUGCGGCGCACGCGUUUCAUCCCACAACGCGCCUCUUUUUCCGGGCGUUUCUCAGCCGGUAUUCGGUGUCUAGUCGGUCACCCAUUUGACCCGUCUUGAAACACGGACCAAGGAGUUUAAGGUGUGCGCAAGUCAUUGAGCGGAAAACUCAAAGGCGAAAUGAAAGUGGGACACUUGGUGUCUGUGAUGCGAUCCGUGUGUGAUUCGUUGUGUGCGGAGCAGCAUCGACCCAUGACCAGGACUUGUUCUGUUGUGGAGUCUGAGCGUACGCUUUGAGACCCGAAAGAUGGUGAACUAUGCCUGAACAGGACGAAGUCAGAGGAAACUCUGAUGGAAGUCCGAAGCGGUUCUGACGUGCGAAUCGAUCGUCUGAUUUGGGUAUAGGGGGGCAAGACUAAUCGAACCUUC
Molecule: ribosomal RNA, 738 nt
Filed under: Ficophagus richardi
Lineage: Eukaryota; Metazoa; Nematoda; Chromadorea; Rhabditida; Aphelenchoididae
Description: eukaryotic LSU rRNA
Rfam family: Eukaryotic large subunit ribosomal RNA
Source: RNAcentral